UACAGAGGGGGCAAGCGUUGUUCGGAAUUACUGGGCGUAAAGGGCGCGUAGGCGGCCUGUUAAGUCGAACGUGAAAUCCCCGGGCUCAACCCGGGAACUGCGUCCGAUACUGGCAGGCUUGAAUCCGGGAGAGGGAUGCGGAAUUCCACGUGUAGCGGUGAAAUGCGUAGAGAUGUGGAGGAACACCUGUGGCGAAGGCGCCUUGCUGGCCGAUUUCUGACGCUGAGGCGCGAAAGCGUGGGGAGCAAACAGG
This 253-nucleotide ribosomal RNA is filed under the name uncultured bacterium. RNAcentral describes it as "partial 16S ribosomal RNA". It matches the Rfam family "Bacterial small subunit ribosomal RNA", at positions 524 to 776 of the family's 1533-position model. The record is from RNAcentral.